AGUGAACGCUGGCGGUAGGCCUAACACAUGCGAGUCGAACGGCAGCACAGUAAGAGCUUGCUCUUACGGGUGGCGAGUGGCGGACGGGUGAGGAAUACAUCGGAAUCUACUUUUUCGUGGGGGAUAACGUAGGGAAACUUACGCUAAUACCGCAUACGACCUACGGGUGAAAGCAGGGGAUCUUCGGACCUUGCGCGACUGAAUGAGCCGAUGUCGGAUUAGCUAGUUGACGGGGUAAAGGCACACCAAGGCGACGAUACGUAGCUGGUCUGAGAGGAUGAUCAGCCACACUGGAACUGAGACACGGUCCAGACUCCUACGGGAGGCAGCAGUGGGGAAUAUUGGGCAAUGGGCGCAAGCCUGAUCCAGCCACACCGCGUGGGUGAUGAAGGCCUUCGGGUUGUAAAGCCCUUUUGUUGGGAAAGAAAAGCGGCAGGUUAAUCCCCCGCUGUUCUGACGGUACCCAAAGAAUAAGCACCGGCUAACUUCGUG
Molecule: ribosomal RNA, 492 nt
Filed under: uncultured bacterium
Lineage: Bacteria
Description: partial 16S ribosomal RNA
Rfam family: Bacterial small subunit ribosomal RNA
Source: RNAcentral